RNAcentral lists this long non-coding RNA (699 nucleotides) under Medicago truncatula (barrel medic). Its description in RNAcentral is "lncRNA gene37820". The record is from RNAcentral. Lineage: Eukaryota; Viridiplantae; Streptophyta; Magnoliopsida; Fabales; Fabaceae.
AAUGACGUUGUCCAAAUUAAAUUUUGUUUACAGUUGGUACAAAUAAAAUGUUUACUAUAAUAGAACUUGGACUGGUUCAGGUCGACAGUCUACGCCAUAACAUGCUUGACGUCUAAGCUUUAUUGUUCAGGUCACGUGAGCUCCACCUGCUUAGCUCAGCUUGAUUGUUCAGGUAAAACGAGCUUCAUCUGCUUAACUUAGUUUGAUCGUUCAGAUAAUGUGAGCUCCGCCAUCAAGUCGUUGUCCAGACAUCAUUGUGGUCCUCCUCUUGAGAGUAUCUCAGAACACGCCACACGUCUUGCACAGACAAGUGACGUGAGCUGUGUACCCUUGACUCCACGUGCCUUGUACGGACGAGCAGUUCAAGGAAACAUGAUCGGCUCCACGCGUCUGGUACAAGUGAUCCAUAUUGACCUCAGAGAGUUAAUGGGCCUGGACAUCCAAAGAAAGACCUAUUAGAUCUAGAAAAUGAGGCCUAUAAAAAGAGGCAUCUAGAGAACAGAAGAGGGAUCAAAUUCAUUAUCUUGAACACAAUGUUUUUUCAGCUAAGUCUUAUUUAAAGUGCUCUUAAAAUUAUAUUUCAUUGAGCAACUUACCUAUUGUAAUUAACUUGUGUUUACAUACGUGAACAAAACUAUUUCAUUUGCAUCCCAAUGUAAAGGAAACAAUACAAAUUAGAACAACAAAAGAAAACAUGAG